AAUGAACGCUGGCGGCAGGCCUAAUACAUGCAAGUCGAGCGAACACACAGUGAGCGUUCGCCUCUACCGUUGGCGACUGACGGGUGAGUAACACAUGCAUAACCUACCUAUAUUACUUGGGGAACUUCGGGAAACCAGAUCUACUACCGGAUAAUAUAUUCAACGGCAGGAUGCAAUAGUUAUACGCAGCUUUCCUGACACUUUGAGAUGAUUCCGCGCCGCAUUAGCUAGUUGGUAAGGUAACGGCUUACCAAGGCAACGAUGCGUAGCUGACCUGAGAGGGUGAUCGGCCACACUGGAACUGAGACACGGUCCAGACUCCUACGGGAGGCAGCAGUAGGGAAUAUUCCGCAAUGGGCGCAAGCCUGACGCAGCAAUGCCGCGUGAGUGAUGAAGGCCUUCGGAUUGUAAAACUCUGUUAUUAGGAAAGAAAAACAGCGUAAGAAAAUCCGGCCGUUUUGACGGUACCUAAUGAGAAAGCACCGGCUAACUUCGUG
This 497-nucleotide ribosomal RNA is filed under the name uncultured bacterium. Its description in RNAcentral is "partial 16S ribosomal RNA". It matches the Rfam family "Bacterial small subunit ribosomal RNA", at positions 29 to 507 of the family's 1533-position model. The record is from RNAcentral.